GAAUUCGCCCUUAGAGUUUGAUCCUGGCUCAGGACGAACGCUGGCGGCGCGCCUAACACAUGCAAGUCGAACGGAGCUUAAAGAGCUUGCUUUUUAAGCUUAGUGGCGAACGGGUGAGUAACGCGUGAGUAACCUGCCCUGGAGUGGGGGACAACAGUUGGAAACGACUGCUAAUACCGCAUAAGCCCACGGAUUCGCAUGGAUCUGCGGGAAAAGGAUUUAUUCGCUUCAGGAUGGACUCGCGUCCAAUUAGCUAGUUGGUGAGGUAACGGCCCACCAAGGCGACGAUCAGUAGCCGGGCUGAGAGGUUGACCGGCCACAUUGGGACUGAGAUACGGCCCAGACUCCUACGGGAGGCAGCAGUGGGGAAUAUUGGGCAAUGGGCGCAAGCCUGACCCAGCAACGCCGCGUGAAGGAAGAAGGCUUUCGGGUUGUAAACUUCUUUUGUCGGGGACGAGUAGAAGACGGUACCUGGCGAAUAAGCCACGGCUAACUACGUGCCAGCAGCCGCGGUAAUACGUAGGUGGCAAGCGUUGUCCGGAUUUACUGGGUGUAAAGGGCGUGUAGCCGGGAAGGCAAGUCAGAUGUGAAAUCCACGGGCUUAACUCGUGAACUGCAUUUGAAACUACUUUUCUUGAGUAUCGGAGAGGCAAUCGGAAUUCCUAGUGUAGCGGUGAAAUGCGUAGAUAUUAGGAGGAACACCAGUGGCGAAGGCGACCUACUGGGCACCAACUGACGCUGAGGCUCGAAAGCAUGGGUAGCAAACAGGAUUAGAUACCCUGGUAGUCCAUGCCGUAAACGAUGAUUACUAGGGGUGGGAGGAUUGACCCCUUCAGUGCCGCAGUUAACACAAUAAGUAAUCCACCUGGGGAGUACGACCGCAAGGUUGAAACUCAAAGGAAUUGACGGGGGCCCGCACAAGCAGUGGAGUAUGUGGUUUAAUUCGAAGCAACGCGAAGAACCUUACCAGGUCUUGACAUCCGAUGCAUAGCGCAGAGAUGCGUGAAGUCCUUCGGGACAUCGAGACAGGUGGUGCAUGGUUGUCGUCAGCUCGUGUCGUGAGAUGUUGGGUUAAGUCCCGCAACGAGCGCAACCCUUAUUGCCAGUUACUACGUAAGAGGACUCUGGCGAGACUGCCGUUGACAAAACGGAGGAAGGUGGGGAUGACGUCAAAUCAUCAUGCCCCUUAUGUCCUGGGCUACACACGUACUACAAUGGCGUUUAACAAAGAGAAGCAAGACCGCGAGGUGGAGCAAAACUCAAAAACAACGUCUCAGUUCAGAUUGCAGGCUGCAACUCGCCUGCAUGAAGUCGGAAUUGCUAGUAAUCGCGGAUCAGCAUGCCGCGGUGAAUACGAUCCCGGGCCUUGCACACACCGCCCGUCA
RNAcentral lists this ribosomal RNA (1385 nucleotides) under uncultured bacterium. RNAcentral describes it as "bacterial SSU rRNA". It matches the Rfam family "Bacterial small subunit ribosomal RNA". The record is from RNAcentral.